RNAcentral lists this unclassified non-coding RNA (571 nucleotides) under Hevea brasiliensis (rubber tree). Lineage: Eukaryota; Viridiplantae; Streptophyta; Magnoliopsida; Malpighiales; Euphorbiaceae. The record is from RNAcentral.
GUCGGUUAGUACUACUAGCUAAUUCUUCUUUUAUUCCUUUGUUAUUAUUUGAGUUUCAUUGAACGCCAAUGGGAGGACAUUCGGGUGCCUAUGGUACUUAUAGAAGGGUGGCUGCAAAUCUCUACUGGAAGGGGAUGAUGAAAAGGGCCAAACAAUUUGCAGCAGAGUGUUUAAUCUGUCAGAAGAAUAAAUAUUUGACCGCAAGUCCAGCAGAUUUGCUUCAACCUCUUCCUAUUCCUACCAAAGUUUGGGCGGAUAUAUCAAAGGAUUUUAUCACGGGUUUACCCAAGUCAUAUGGAAUUGAUUGUGUUCUGGUUGUUACCGAUAGGCUUUCAAAAUAUGGGCAUUUUCUUGGCCUCAAACAUCCUUUCACUGCAAAAAUGGUAGUAGAAUUGUUCCUCAAAGUGGUAGUCCGCUUACACUGCAUGUCAGAUUCCAUUGUAAGUGACUGUGAUUCACUUUUUUUUAGUCAUUUCUGGCAAGAAAUCUUUCGGUUGCAAGGAACGAUUUUGCGAAUGAGUAUUGCCUAUUAUCCAAAAACAAAUGGGCAAAUAGAGGUUUUGAAUCGGUG